This 451-nucleotide ribosomal RNA is filed under the name uncultured Fibrobacter sp. RNAcentral's name for it is "bacterial SSU rRNA". It matches the Rfam family "Bacterial small subunit ribosomal RNA", at positions 341 to 792 of the family's 1533-position model. The record is from RNAcentral. Lineage: Bacteria; Pseudomonadati; Fibrobacterota; Fibrobacteria; Fibrobacterales; Fibrobacteraceae.
ACGGGAGGCAGCGGUGAGGGAUAUUGCACAAUGGGGGGAACCCUGAUGCAACAACGCCACGUGUGGGAAGAAGCAUCUCGGUGUGUAAACCACUGUCGUGAGGGAAUAAUGCUUGAUUUCGGUCAAGUUGAAUGUACCUCGAAAGGAAGCACCGGCAAACUUCGUGCCAGCAGCCGCGGUAAUACGAGGGGUGCAAGCGUUGUUCGGAAUCACUGGGCGUAAAGGGAGCGUAGGCGGAGACGCAAGCAGUCUGUACAAUACCGGGGCCCAACCCCGGACCUGCAGACUGGACUGUGUCUCUUGGAUAGUUCAGGGGCAGGCGGAAUUCCUGGUGUAGCGGUGGAAUGCGUAGAGAUCAGGAAGAACACCGAUGGCGAAGGCAGUCUGCUGGGGACUCAUCGACGCUGAGGCUCGAAAGUGCGGGUAGCAAACAGGAUCAGAUCCCCUGGUA